AACUCAAAGAAAAGAUUCAACCAGAAGAGACCAUACCCACUUGGUGGAGUUUGCCAAAGAUCAGAAACAGGGUCUGCUGCAUUAGUCUGUGACCUUCGGACUAGUGACACCACUGCUUCCUCAAGGCAUGGACUCUUGGAAGGGGCAGGAGAGCUACAGCAGUUGAAGCAGAGAAGAAAGGCUGAGGAAUUUAGGCAACUCCAGGACAGCGGAAAUGCAUGGAGAAGACCAGAAGUUCAGCUCUUGUUUCUGCCUUGUGCUGUGCAAACAAUGCAUGACCAGAUUAGACAAAAAUAUCAUCACGGAAGAAGAGAGAGUGGGCUUCCAGAAGCCCAGAAAACAGGUGAUUCCAGCAAGGUUCCUAGAUGACUGAUAGAUGGUCAUUUCUUCAGUCACUUUUGCAAGAAAGACCUAGAAAAUUCCACAUAGGGAGCAUCUUCCUAUUUUUCAUGAAAUCAAAGCAGAUGGAAAGCUGUCAACUUCAGUAUAAACACACAAA
RNAcentral lists this long non-coding RNA (499 nucleotides) under Fukomys damarensis (Damara mole-rat). Its description in RNAcentral is "lncRNA (ENSFDAG00000021781.1)". The record is from RNAcentral. Lineage: Eukaryota; Metazoa; Chordata; Mammalia; Rodentia; Bathyergidae.